This 253-nucleotide ribosomal RNA is filed under the name uncultured bacterium. RNAcentral describes it as "partial 16S ribosomal RNA". It matches the Rfam family "Bacterial small subunit ribosomal RNA", at positions 524 to 776 of the family's 1533-position model. The record is from RNAcentral.
UACAGAGGGGGCAAGCGUUGUUCGGAUUCACUGGGCGUAAAGGGUGCGCAGGCGGCCAAGUGUGUCAGGUGUGAAAUCCCGGGGCUUAACUCUGGAACUGCGCCUGAAACUACUUGGCUAGAGCAUUGGAGAGGGAAGUGGAAUUCACGGUGUAGCAGUGAAAUGCGUAGAUAUCGUGAGGAACACCAGAGGCGAAGGCGACUUCCUGGACAAUUGCUGACGCUCAGGCACGAAAGCCAGGGUAGCGAACGGG